RNAcentral lists this ribosomal RNA (253 nucleotides) under uncultured bacterium. RNAcentral's name for it is "partial 16S ribosomal RNA". It matches the Rfam family "Bacterial small subunit ribosomal RNA", at positions 524 to 776 of the family's 1533-position model. The record is from RNAcentral. RNAcentral also lists the same sequence under 1 other name.
UACGGAGGGUGCAAGCGUUAUCCGGAUUUACUGGGUUUAAAGGGUGCGUAGGUGGGUCUGUAAGUCAGUGGUGAAAUCUCCGAGCUUAACUCGGAAACUGCCAUUGAUACUAUAGGUCUUGAAUUAUCUGGAGGUAAGCGGAAUAUGUCAUGUAGCGGUGAAAUGCUUAGAUAUGACAUAGAACACCAAUUGCGAAGGCAGCUUACUACGGAUUGAUUGACACUGAGGCACGAAAGCGUGGGGAUCAAACAGG